This 499-nucleotide ribosomal RNA is filed under the name uncultured Glomeromycotina. RNAcentral describes it as "partial small subunit ribosomal RNA". It matches the Rfam family "Eukaryotic small subunit ribosomal RNA", at positions 591 to 1092 of the family's 1831-position model. Lineage: Eukaryota; Fungi; Glomeromycota. The record is from RNAcentral.
CCAAUAGUGUAUAUUAAAGUUGUUGCAGUUAAAAAGCUCGUAGUUGAAUUUCGAGACUGGUCUACUGGUCGUUCUUUUGUACGUACUGGUAUAAUCGGUUUCUCUCUUCUGACAAACUAUAAUGCCAUUAAUUUGGUGUUUUAGGGAAUCAGGACUGUUACUUUGAAAAAAUUAGAGUGUUUAAAGCAGGCUCACGUUUGAAUACAUUAGCAUGGAAUAACGAAAUAGGACGUUUGAUUCUAUUUUGUUGGUUUCUAGGAUCGACGUAAUGAUUAAUAGGGAUAGUUGGGGGCAUUAGUAUUCAAUUGUCAGAGGUGAAAUUCUUGGAUUUAUUGAAGACUAACUACUGCGAAAGCAUUUGCCAAGGAUGUUUUCAUUAAUCAAGAACGAAAGUUAGGGGAUCGAAGACGAUCAGAUACCGUCGUAGUCUUAACCAUAAACUAUGCCGACUAGGGGUCGGAUGAUGUUAAUUUUUUAAUGACUCAUUCGGCGCCUUACG